CGGAACGUGCCCAGUAGCGGGGGAUAACUACGCGAAAGCGUAGCUAAUACCGCAUACGCCCUAAGGGGGAAAGCGGGGGAUCGCAAGACCUUGCACUACUGGAGCGGCCGAUAUCGGAUUAGCUAGUUGGUGAGGUAAUGGCUCACCAAGGCGACGAUCCGUAGCUGGCUUGAGAGGACGACCAGCCACACUGGGACUGAGACACGGCCCAGACUCCUACGGGAGGCAGCAGUGGGGAAUUUUGGACAAUGGGGGAAACCCUGAUCCAGCCAUCCCGCGUGUGCGAUGAAGGCCUUCGGGUUGUAAAGCACUUUUGGCAGGAAAGAAACGGCGCGUGCUAAUACCAUGCGCAACUGACGGUACCUGCAGAAUAAGCACCGGCUAACUACGUGCCAGCAGCCGCGGUAAUACGUAGGGUGCAAGCGUUAAUCGGAAUUACUGGGCGUAAAGCGUGCGCAGGCGGUUCGGAAAGAAAGAUGUGAAAUCCCAGGGCUCAACCUUGGAACUGCAUUUUUAACUACCGGACUAGAGUAUGUCAGAGGGAGGUGGAAUUCCACGU
RNAcentral lists this ribosomal RNA (559 nucleotides) under uncultured bacterium. RNAcentral describes it as "bacterial SSU rRNA". It matches the Rfam family "Bacterial small subunit ribosomal RNA", at positions 119 to 674 of the family's 1533-position model. The record is from RNAcentral.